GAUGAACGCUGGCGGCGUGCUUAACACAUGCAAGUCGAACGAAAAGGCCCUGCUCUUGUUGGGUGCUCGAGUGGCGAACGGGUGAGUAACACGUGAGUAACCUGCCCUUGACUUUGGGAUAACUUCUGGAAACUCGGGCUAAUACCGGGUAGGAGCUCCUGCUGCGUGUUGGUGGUUGGAGAGUUUCGGCGGUUGGGGAUGGACUCGCGGCUUAUCCGCUUGUUGGUGGGGUAGUGGCUUACGAAGGCUUUGACGGGUAGCCGGCCUGAGAGGGUGACCGGCCACAUGAGGACUACGAGACGGCCCAGACGCCUACGGGAGGCAGCAGUGGGGAAUAUUGCACAAUGGGCGGAAGCCUGAUGCAGCAACGCCGCGUGCGGGAUGACGGCCUUCGGGUUGUAAACCGCUUUCGCCUGUGACGAAGCGUGAGUGACGGUAAUGGGUAAAGAAGCACCGGCUAACUACGUG
Molecule: ribosomal RNA, 468 nt
Filed under: uncultured bacterium
Lineage: Bacteria
Description: partial 16S ribosomal RNA
Rfam family: Bacterial small subunit ribosomal RNA
Source: RNAcentral